UACGUAGGGUGCAAGCGUUAAUCGGAAUUACUGGGCGUAAAGCGUGCGCAGGCGGUGAUGUAAGACAGAUGUGAAAUCCCCGGGCUCAACCUGGGAACUGCAUUUGUGACUGCAUCGCUGGAGUACGGCAGAGGGGGAUGGAAUUCCGCGUGUAGCAGUGAAAUGCGUAGAUAUGUGGAGGAACACCGAUGGCGAAGGCAAUCCCCUGGGCCUGUACCGACGCUCAUGCACGAAAGCGUGGGGAGCAAACAGG
This 253-nucleotide ribosomal RNA is filed under the name uncultured bacterium. RNAcentral's name for it is "partial 16S ribosomal RNA". It matches the Rfam family "Bacterial small subunit ribosomal RNA", at positions 524 to 776 of the family's 1533-position model. The record is from RNAcentral.